Long non-coding RNA from Cydia strobilella, 4423 nucleotides. RefSeq lists it as uncharacterized. The record is from RefSeq and is a predicted model, not a curated record. The transcript is spliced from 4 exons. NCBI's taxonomy places the organism in Eukaryota, Metazoa, Arthropoda, Insecta, Lepidoptera, Tortricidae.
CCCAUGCGCUGGUCGUGAUGCUCGCGGCGGCUACUGCGGUUAUCACGCGGAUGCAGCUCUGAAACAGCUCGCAAUGCACGCAGUGAUGUGCCGUCCGCAUCCCGGAGCGGCGUGCGGGGCCGGUAUCUAGUGUGAAGAUCGCCUUCGUCGCUUGCGUGCUCUGUUCUGCCGUCGUCCCCGUGCUAUCAGGAAAUCUACAGAGAGGAGUCGAAAAUGCAGAAAUGACAGCUCGCACACAAAUGCCUAAAGCUCUGAAGCUUGUAAGCUGCUUAGAAAGUCGCCCAAAACAUAUUGGCAUAGAGUUAUGGAGCCCGUCUGCAAAAAGGUAAGAAAAUUGUGAUAUUAACUUCUAAUAUUUUCACAUCUUUAUUUGAUUCAGAUAUUUCUAUUUAGAUGUAACUGCCAGUAGAGAGGUGAUGUCUCAUUAGAUGUAACCCAAUGAAAGAUUUCUCUCAUUAGAACUCCUAUAUGACUAGUGCUGCAGACUGUUAUGGGAUGCCUGCAAUUUUUAAUUAUAAACCGACACAUGGAGCCGAGGUUUUCUUAAGAGACGCAAGGGGUACCUACUUAAAACGUGUACAAUUUCUAAUGGGCAGGCUAUGUGCAUGUGGCACCCUUGGAGUUGCAAAUAUACAUAGGCUUUGGUAACUACUUACUAUCAGCAAAGAUAGAUAUAACUCCGUAAUAGAUGGAUACAGUCUAAGGAAAAAACGUGCCUCGAAAAUCAAGAAAAUUUGAUUCUCGUUCAGAGGGCGCUACUGAAUUUACUGGGGUUACAAAAUUUACUAUGACAGUACCGCUCUAGUAUAAGUUACUCUAUGCUAUCAGGAAGGACGGGAUGUAACACCUUCCUUUAAUCUAUGAUCAGCGUGUGGUGCUAUGUGUUUGAUGAUUUUAUUUAUAGUUAGGUUCAUAUUAGCUAGAGUGAGGUUUUCUAUGGCAACAUUAAAAAUAAUAGAGAUAAUUCAAGCAAAUGAAAGAGAGAGAGAGAGAGAGAGAAAAUUUAUUUAACAUCACAAAACAUUAUUAAACACACAUCUUGAAAAAUAUGUACCUACUUAAUAGUUUACAACUUUACAUACUAAAGUGCACUGUCUUCACAAUCUAUUGACUCGCACAUAUUGUAUACUAUUGUAAUAUUUAUGAUGUCACAGUAAUAGCUGGUCUUAUGUCUCUGACGAAAGAGUGUUAGGAGUUUUCCAGCUUCUUUCAUUAAUCAACACUCUAUGAUCUAUGAUAGUACUGCCUAUUCUGAUAAACUGUAAACUCAAUUUUUGGGGUUCCGUACCUCAAAAGGAAAAAACGGAACCCUUAUAGGACCACUUUGUUGUCCGUCUGUCCGUCCGUCCGUCCGUCUGUCAAGACCCUCUAUCUUACGUUUUUUGAUAAUUUUAUUUUUAGUUUUAAUCAUGUGUCGAUAGAUGGCAGUGAAUUUACUGUGGCUACAAAAUUUACUAUGACAGUAACCGCUCUAUCCUAUUAUAUCCUCUUCGGUAUGAGGUUUUUUUAGUAAAAUUUUACACGCUUUUAUUAACCGCCGCCGUCGCAAGAAAGUGCUAUAAGUUUGACCGCUAUGUCGUGUGUGUGUGUGUGUGUGUGUGGCUGUCUGUGAGGCCGUAGCUCUUAAACGGGUGAAGCUAGUUGAUUUUAUGUGCAACGUUGACUUCGUAGUCAAAAUAUUUUAACGACAAGUUUACCACCGAAAAAGUAUAACUACUCUUUUUAAGGUUCCAUAGCCAAAAUGGUAAAAACUUUCUGCACAUCCGUCUGUUUGUCCGUCAGUAUAUCACAGCUAUUUUGCUCACAAACUAUCAAUUAUAUUAAAAUAAUAUUUUAAUGAAGAUAGGUGCCACUUCACAAAACAAAACGGUUUUUAGGGUUCCGUACCCAAAGGGUAAAAACGGGACCCUAUUACUAAGACUCCGCUGUCUGUCUGUCUGUCCGUCCGUCUGUCAACUGGCGUUAUCUCAUGAACCGUGAUAGUUAGACAGCUGAAAUUUUCACAGAUGAUGUAUUUCUGUUGCCGCUAUGGCAACAAAUACUAAAAACAGAAUAAAAUAAAUAUUUAAGUGGGGCUUCCAUACAACAAACGUGAUUUUUUGCUGUCUUUUUCCGUAAUCGUACGGAACCCUUCGUGCGCGAGUCCGACUCGCACUUGGCCGGUUUUUUAUAGAGUGUGGAAGGUGCAUGGAGCAAGCAUUGCAUUUAUUCUUAGUUAGGCAUAUACAUAUUAUAUUGGUUUGAGUGAGGAUUCCUUAGCAAUUAUUAGUAUUUGGUCCUGUGAAGGACUGAUGAUGGAGACCAAUGGUAGCCAUACAGGGACUGUGUGAUGAAACAACACAACCUUAUUGAGGUUUGGCUUUUAGAACUGUUGUUCACUAAUAUAUAUGACUUCAGAAGAACAGAUGUAACAAAUAGAUGUACCUAUCACAUGAACUUCAGUAGGGUGUAGCUAUUAAUUUUCAGGGUUCCGUACCGGAAGGGUGAAAACGGGACCCUAUUACUAAGACUCCACUCGUCUGUCCGUCUUGUCUGUCUGUCUGUCACCAGGCUGUAUCUCAUGAACCGUGAUAGCUAGACUGCUGUAUUUCUGUUGCCGCUAUAACAACAAAUACUAAAAAGUACGGAACCCGAGUCCGACUCGCACUUGUCCGGUUUUUUAUCAACCCAAAUUCUACAGGUUAAAUAACAUAACCAUUCACUUUCUUCUGGUAGCGGUAGCACACUCGUAUUUCCUAAGCUAGGAAAUAGUUUUCACGCAAUAUCCAGCAAUGAACAGCGUAUGUGUUUUUAGGGUUCCGUACCCAAAGGGUAAAAACGGGACCCUAUUAUUAAGACUCCUCUGUUCGUCUGUCUGUCACAAGGCUAUAUCUCAUAAACAGUGAUAGCUAGAAAGUUAAAUUUUCAAUAACAACAAAUACUAAAAAGUACGAAACCCUCGGUGGGCGAGGCCGACUCGCACUUGUUCAGUUUUUUUGUUAAAUAUUACAAGUCUUUUGUAAACCCCCGAAGCAAAAAGAGGGGUGUUAUACUUUUACCGUGUUUGUCUGUAACACCGUGUCUCUUAAACGGGCAAACCGAUCGGACGCAGAUAUUUUAGCACUUGUUCUUCGACAUGUUUCAUCAAAAUAUUCUUUAUUGCACACUUCAACACAAGAAAAUAAUACAGAUAAUACAGUAACUCAAGCAGAGGUAUUAAACAACAGGUGGUCUUAUCGUUAAAAAGCUUUUAUUAGGUUAGUCCAACGACGUGUAAAGCCGCUCAUACCCUCCAGAAUUCAGGGCAUCCAAAGAAAUCCAUUAUUAUCGGCCGCCUUGCCUCCGACUGCCUACAAGAGUGAACGUGGAGUCGUCGCCGCACCGCAUCUUCCGCUACUCACCGGCGGCUGGUUCAAGAACUCUACGAUCCUGCAGGCUCCUGAUAUAAAACUGUCCUUCUCAGGAUAAAUACAACUGCCCUUUUCAGGGCAACAGAAAAACUGUUCUUUUCAGAACAAAUGUCACUGUUUCUAUGACGACACAGCUUCAAGUGUUCUUUUCAGAACACUUGGUUCCUGUUUCUAUGUUUAUACACAGAUCAAUCGAUGCCUCUUUUUAGCGAUAACACCGUUUGGUGCCUCUACCAAAAUUGUUUAUGUUUUUAUACAUGUAUUGUAAACUGUGUGCAAUAAAGAGUAUCGUGUUGAACCACUUGUACCCUCGUAUAUAUUAAGUUAAUGUAAUACUAGGAAUCAUGAUAUUUUAAUAAAAAAGAAUAUGUCAGUUUAUUCUGAUACUUGUACUUGUGUCGCAUUCUUGUUCCCCAUGCGCUGACCGUGAGGCUCGCGAUGUGUGUGAUCGUGUAAGCGAUGUCCCGCUCGCAUCCCGGAGCGGCGUGCGGACCCGCGUCCAAUGUGAAGAUCGCCCACGUCGCCUGCACGCUCUGCUCUGCACUCGACACCAUGCUGACAGCUCUGAAACAGCUCGCAAUGCACGCAGUGAUGUGCCGUCCGCAUCCCGGAGCGGCGUGCGGGGCCGGUAUCUAGUGUGAAGAUCGCCUUCGUCGCUUGCGUGCUCUGUUCUGCCGUCGUCCCCGUGCUAUCAGGAAAUCUACAGAGAGGAGUCGAAAAUGCAGAAAUGACAGCUCGCACACAAAUGCCUAAAGCUCUGAAGCUUGUAAGCUGCUUAGAAAGUCGCCCAAAACAUAUUGGCAUAGAGUUAUGGAGCCCGUCUGCAAAAAGGUAAGAAACUUGUGAUAUUAACUUCUAAUAUUUUCACAUCUUUAUUUGAUUCAGAUAUUUCUAUUUAGAUGUAACUGCCAGUAGAGAGGUGAUGUCUCAUUAGAUGUAACCCAAUGAAAGAUUUCUCUCAUUAGAACUCCUAUAUGACUAGUGCUGCAGACUGUUAUGGGAUGCCUGCAAUUUUUAAUUAUAAACCGACACAU